GACGAACGCUGGCGGCGUGCUUAACACAUGCAAGUCGAACGGUAAGGCCCUUCGGGGUACCCGAGUGGCGAACGGGUGAGUAACGCGGGAGUAACCUGACCUUCACUCUGGGAUAACAGUUGGAAACGGCUGCUAAUACCGCAUAUUCAGCUCCUGUCGCCUGCGGGGGGUUGGAAAGUUUUGGUGGUGGUUGAUGGGCUCGCGUCCUCUCAGCUGGUUGGGGGGGUGAUGGCCUUCCAAGGCGUCGAAGGGUAGGCGGCCUGGGAGGGCGACCGGCCACAUUGGGACUGAGAUACGGCACAAACUGCUACGGGAGGCAGCAGUGGGGAAUCUUGCACAAGGGGCGGAAGCCUGAUGCAGAAACGCCGCGGGCGGGAUAACGGCUUUCGGGUUGUAAAACGCUUUCAGCAGGGACGAAGCGCAAGUGACGGUACCUGAAGAAGAAGCACCGGCUAACUACGUG
This 463-nucleotide ribosomal RNA is filed under the name uncultured bacterium. RNAcentral describes it as "partial 16S ribosomal RNA". It matches the Rfam family "Bacterial small subunit ribosomal RNA", at positions 28 to 507 of the family's 1533-position model. The record is from RNAcentral.